UACGUAGGGUGCAAGCGUUGUCCGGAAUUAUUGGGCGUAAAGAGCUCGUAGGCGGUUUGUUGCGUCGGCUGUGAAAUCCCGAGGCUCAACCUCGGGUCUGCAGUCGAUACGAGCAAACUAGAGUGUUGCAGGGGAGACUGGAAUUCCUGGUGUAGCGGUGAAAUGCGCAGAUAUCAGGAGGAACACCGGUGGCGAAGGCGGGUCUCUGGGCAACAACUGACACUGAGGGACGAAAGCUAGGGGAGCGAACAGG
RNAcentral lists this ribosomal RNA (253 nucleotides) under uncultured bacterium. RNAcentral's name for it is "partial 16S ribosomal RNA". It matches the Rfam family "Bacterial small subunit ribosomal RNA", at positions 524 to 776 of the family's 1533-position model. The record is from RNAcentral.